UUUUGGAGAAUAGAUGUGGACCGUAUAUUACAAAUCCCUCUAUCCCAUCAUAGUUUGGAGGAUGAUGUUGCAUGGCACUUUACAAAGAAUGGAGUAUACAACAUUCGCUCUGGCUAUUACAAAGAAUGGGAAGAUCAAUAUGGUCCAAAAGUUGGUGGUUAGGCUAGACAAUCGAGUACACCGGAUCAUCCGGUUUGGAAGAGGCUGUGGAAGUUAAAGCUACCGGGGAAAGUCAAAAUCUUCAUAGGGAGAUGCUUGCAUAACACCAUCCCUUUUAAGUCUACACUAGCCAACAGGCAUAUUCCCACGAGUGGGCAGUGCCCUAUUUGUCAGCAAGGGGCGGAACAUAUUAAGCAUGCGCUCUUCACAUGUUCCCGUGCUAGGUUGAUAUGGUCUGAGUUGGGCUUGCAAAGUGUCAUAGAUGAGGCGAUUCCAAUUGACAGGUCAGGUGCGAGGGUGAUGGAGUCUCUUCUGUGCGACGACGGGUUUCAACGGAAGUAUAUGGAUAUUAUUGAUAUACCUGGAGCCAUAGCCUCUACUAGCUGGCACCUUUGGUGGCAGCGAAGGGAGUUAGUCAGAGGGGAACAAGUCCAAGAUCCGGUCCGCACAACUAUGGCCAUCCAGGCCCUAUCUUUGAACUUUGUCCGAGCGGUCGGGAAAACCAAUCCAAUGCCUCGUCAAAACACUUGGAAGAAACCACUGUCAGGGAUGCAAGUACUAGAUGUAGAUGCCUCUUUCUUUGAAGAAGAUCACUCGGGCUCUUGUGGAAUGGUGGUGAGGGACCAUAAUGGCGGAUUUAUAGCAGCUGCAGUAACUCAAAUGUCUCAUGUGGCUGAUGUAGUGGUAGUUGAGGCCGAGGCAAUGCACCAAGGUAUCAUGUUCAUACGCGGUCUUGGGUGUGAUAGCAUUAUGGUCCAAUCUGAUAGCUCGAUCGUCAUGGAUGCUUUGAGGAUGAAUGAAGGGUAUGCUUUGGUGGCUGCACCAAUUCUUGAGGAUUGCCGUAAUUUGCUUAAAGAUUUCGGGAAGGUCAUUAUCGAACAUUGUAGUAGAGAGUCGAACAUGGUUGCUCAUGAGCUAGCUAGCUUUGGGAUGGGUAAUCCACCGACGGUGUGGUCGGAUACACCUCCCUUUUUCAUUCUGAAUGCUUUGUCAAAUGAUGUAAGUUUAUUAUGA
RNAcentral lists this ribosomal RNA (1173 nucleotides) under Triticum aestivum (bread wheat). RNAcentral describes it as "partial small subunit ribosomal RNA". Lineage: Eukaryota; Viridiplantae; Streptophyta; Magnoliopsida; Poales; Poaceae. The record is from RNAcentral.